CUUCUUUUCUCUCUCUCACCCUUUUUUGGGUUAACAUUUUUUUUAUGGGUCCAUUGAAUAUGUUGAAUCCAUGUGGACAUCUGGAUUGUAUCUGGGAACUUGGCACAUUUCACUCUCCAUGAAAUGAGAGUACUUCUCCCGAACGUAUUUAAUUUUUAGUGUUACUUUUCAUUCCCCAUAAAAUACUUAAUCUAUAAUAGUCAAUAGAUACAAUACAGGGAAGAAAAGUAAUAUUUUAUUUUACUCUUAUUAAAAUUUAAAAGUCUAAGUCAGUAGUACUAACAUUUGCGCAAUAACUAAAUGAAAUUUGAAAGGCAUAAUUAUAAGCCAAGAUUUACUCUCUCUAUGGUCUUUUGUGCGAUCAACCAGAUGUUGCUUUGAUAGCUAUUGGACUUGCACUAAAGUGCUCUUCUUGAUUGUGUUUUCAAGGUGGCAUUGAGUAUUCUCUUAUUGGUUUUCUUUCUCUCUUCCUUUUUGCCUCAUACCCAUUUCAAAUCUUCAAGAUUGUGAGUAUUUCUUAGCUCUAAGAAUGAGGUAAGGGUAGUGCAAAAACUUAGUUUUUUUUUUCUUUGUUAUUUUCUUCAAGAAAGCUUUUUACUCUUAUAUUGCUCUAGAUAUAUCUAUGAUUCAGGAGCCAUUGUGAGAUUGAAAGCUUUUGGCUUGAUUAGACCACUUAAUGGUUUGCAAAAUCAGUACUUAAAGCCCAAUAUAGUUGGCGCGCAGAUAUUUGCAGAAUUUCAAGUACCAUUUCCACAGGUUCCAACUCGAGAUUGCUACUUCGUAAGAUAUUGUAAACGAAGUGUUGAUGGAACAAGAAAUGCCAAUUGGUUACUCAAAGGUCACCUGGAUUGAGCAUGUAGAGGCAGAUGAUACAGCAAUUUAUAACAUUUACAAGCCUCUUUUAAAUUCUGGCCUUGCAUUCGGGGCAAAGCGUUGGAUUGCUACUUUGGAUAGACAAUGUGAAUGGCUAGCAAGUGCGAUGGCCACAAAUUUACCCGACGAUAACAUGACUAAUAUGAGUAGUAUUAGGAGGUCCAGAGGGAAGAAAGAGUGUGUUGAAGCUAGCAGAGAGAAUGAUAAUUAGCUAUUGUUCUGGAGUUAGUGCUACAACAGCUCAUCAAUGGACAACUCUCUCAGGAAGUGUGGUUCAGAAAAUGAUGUUCGAAUCAUGUUUAGGAAAAGCAUUAAUGUUCCAGGCAGACCUCCUAGCAUUGUCAUGUGCGCUGCUACUUCCUUCUGGCUCCUGAUUUCUUCGAAAACAGUGUUUGAUUUUCUCCAUGAUGAAAACACUAGGACUGAGUGGGAUAUACUAUCCAAUGGAGGUGUUAUUCAGAGAUUGGUUCAUAUUGCUAAUGGCAGGGAAACAGGCAACUCUGUCUCCAUAUUGAGAGUGAAUAUAAGCAAAUAUAAUCUUCACUUUUACUUUCUUUUCCCAUAUUAUGAUUCAUGGGAAAAUUGGGUCGUGACAAAUUAAUAAUUAAUCACUAUAUGGAUUAACUAAUUAGCGCGCAUUCCAAUAUUUGGUUGUUAAUAUGCAGAGUAGUGCAAUCUCAAGCAAAAACAACAUGCAGAUAUUACAAGAGAGCAGUACUGAUGUGAAGACAAGGUCGUCGUUUUUAAUCAUGUCAUAGAUCUCAGUGGUGUUUUAUUACUGCUACACGGGGAGACUUUUGAAGGCUAAAGCUCUAUAUGGUUCUAGCAUACAUAGAUAUAUGUCUAGCGAGAGGAUAAUAGAGAUCAACUCACACAACCCUAUCAUGAAUGAGAUCAAGCAAUUCUACCAUUCAUGGACUGAAUGGUUAUCCUUACUGAUGUAGACAACAAAAUAAGUUAGUUACGAAGAAAAGCUAUGAUAUGUCUAUUGGGGAUUUUUCCUGAUGCUGCUUGUGACUACUUUUCUCAAUUUAGCUUUCAGCUUUAAUUGUCCUACACCUAUAUGAAUAGAAUUAUAUGACUCUAAAAGUUGGCGGAGUUUUGAUGAGGAUCUAGAGAUGCUGAUGUUGUUCCUUUAACUUUUGCUCUCGCGUAAGCACACCUGGAAGUGACUCAACGUUUGAGAUAAUGUAUCUUUGUGCCUUUUCAAAAAAUAAUGUAACUUUGUCAAAAUAACAGUAAGGUUAAUUCUUUGGGAAGAAGUAAAAAGAGAAUAUCAGGAGGAAAAAAAUACAGAAUCAAUUGAUGUGUCUAUUAGUUGGUAAGUAUAAACUCUCGCUUUAGAUCUGAGAGAUCAGCAGGAACUGGCCAAGGCCGAUAUUUUCCAACCUUAAUGCUUACUUUUUGUCAUCGACUCAGGUAGGAUUUGUUUCCUUUUGCUUCGUAUCUAUAGCUGUGCUUAAAUCACCAGAGAUUUAGGUUAGAUUAUUGUUCGCAUGCAUUGGAAUGUUUAAGCUGCAUUGUUCACGGGCCAUAAAAAUCUAGUAUUAUAGAAGAGAAAGACUCUCGACAUGGGUGCUUAAAAGUCAAUAAAUUCUAAAUUAGGGCCUUACAGACAUUUCUCAUUAGCUAAAUGUGUGUCCUUUCAUUAGAAGCUGCAGUUUGAUAUUUACCCAUUAACUACUUACGUGUCCUCUUGUUAGAAUCAUGCCUCUCCACUUUCCCUAAAGCCUACAAUUUCAUUUUUCCAUUUUUGUUUCUAUUUUCCUCUCAUGGUCGAUCAGUUUCUGCUUUCUUCGCCUAUAGAUAAAUCUAUCGCUUAUCAAGUAGCUGGUAUCUCUCUCUCUCCGUCCCACUGUGCUUUUGCCUUUUGCAAUUGAAUUUGUCGUUGUUUUUAUUUCUUAAACCUAAAGUUUCACUGAUUUCAUAUCAAUUUAAAUUCAGUUUCUUUUAUGCACAAUUGGUUGACUUGGUUAAGUUGUGUCGAUUUUCUCAAUUUUGUUAACGGGGUACUUAAUGGGUUUAUGAAAAAUGUUAAUGGGUUUAACAUCGAGAUUUUAAAAUUUAUAUUUUGCAGACUUACUGGGAGAAAAAAGUAUGAAAUGAAGGGGAAAUCUACAAAGUAGUGCAAAUAUUAGCAUGUGCAUUCAGAUUUGGUUCCUUCAAAACCUGAUGUUGAUAUGGAACGGUGCUUUUCUGAUGUUAUGCUAAACAAAAAAAGCUAUUCAUGUAAGUUGUUACUAUAUCUUAUAGUGUGCUCUCAGGAUGUAUGAGAGCAGAUUUUAAUUCACUAUUAGUUGUAUCUGUUAUGAUUAUUUGACAACAAAUACAUGCCUCAUAUGUAUCCUCAAUUACAUUAUAUGCAUUUAGACAUGUCAUAAUUAGUAAGAUAUUUGUAGAUGAUAAUUUUGUUUUUAAUGAUAGAUUUGAAUUGAGAAAGAAAAAGCAGGGAAAGGGAAAAAUUAUAGAACAAAUAUCAGACAAUUCUCAUGGAACGAGUUUUCUAAGUUUUGUAUUUUGACAUAACAAGUUAAGAGGCUAGAAAUAGUUGCAAUAUAUUUAUGGAUUUGUCAAGCAUUUAUAUAACAAUAAACCCCGUAUAAUCCUACGAGUGGGGUCUGGGGAGGGUAGUGUAUAUACAGAUCUUACCCCUACCUUGAGAAGAUAGAGAUGUUGUUUCCAGUACAGCCUCCGUAUUUUGACAUAACAAGUUAAGAGGCUAGAAAUAGUUGCAAUAUAUUUAUGGAUUUGUCAAGCAUUUAUAUAACAAUAAACCCCGUAUAAUCCUACGAGUGGGGUCUGGGGAGGGUAGUGUAUAUACAGAUCUUACCCCUACCUUGAGAAGAUAGAGAUGUUGUUUCCAGUACAGCCUCCGUAUUUUGACAUAACAAGUUAAGAGGCUAGAAAUAGUUGCAAUAUAUUUAUGGAUUUGUCAAGCAUUUAUAUAACAAUAAACCCCGUAUAAUCCUACGAGUGGGGUCUGGGGAGGGUAGUGUAUAUACAGAUCUUACCCCUACCUUGAGAAGAUAGAGAUGUUGUUUCCAGUACAGCCUCCGUAUUUUGACAUAACAAGUUAAGAGGCUAGAAAUAGUUGCAAUAUAUUUAUGGAUUUGUCAAGCAUUUAUAUAACAAUAAACCCCGUAUAAUCCUACGAGUGGGGUCUGGGGAGGGUAGUGUAUAUACAGAUCUUACCCCUACCUUGAGAAGAUAGAGAUGUUGUUUCCAGUACAGCCUCCUCAUUUAUUUUAUCAAAAGAAGAGAAAAAAACUAAUCGAUGCAGAAUCUUUUACUAGGUUCAAUCAAAAAGAAUUUGAGUGGUUUAUCUAAUUCAUUCCUCUAACUAAAAUCAUUGAUUGUUUGGAUACAUGGAGCGGAGAGGUUCCAUUUAAAUAUAUGUUUCUUUUCAGCCUUUACUUUCAUCUUUACCUGCUAAUUAUGAUUUUCUGCUUGAUUAUUUCACUUUCUAUUUGAUAACAUCUCUUUUGCCUUAAAAAAUCUUCUGUUUUAUGCAUUUGAAUGGGCAUUUAUGCAUCUUCUCUCACAGAAAAAGUGCAAGUAGGAUACUACUUUACCUUUCAGGUGACAUCUUGAGAUGUUAAUUAAAGAUUGCAGUGGAAAGAAAGAAGGUCAAUCAGACAUGCAUUUUGGUUAGCUAGAGGAUUGUCCCAUGAUGUCUAUGACUUGGUUGGGCUUUAUGCUGCUAAAAGGGAAAAAAUUUAGAGGAACAUCUAUAGGAAUGGGAUGCUAUAUCAUAAAUCUGCUCGUAUUCGUCCUUGUGAGGUAAGACUCAUUUCUAUUCCUAACUUUUUUAGUUCGCUUCUGACCAGAGAAGCUAACAAAUUAGCGCGAUAAUGGAGUGUCGUGGUUUAUUUGUUGAUAGUUGAUUGUUUACUUCCAACCACUGAGGUAAAUAGUGGUUGAACACUUCCCAUGGGUUUUUAUCUUUUGCACUUACAUGCAUUUAUGAAGUCUGAUAUAACCAUUUGCAUUUGUAAUUUUUCUAACUUAUAUGCCAGAAAAACUAAAAACAGCUCUUUGGCGAAAUGCUAUAAUUUGUUUGAAAUUUUGCUGACAACAAACUAUAAAGUGAUAUUGGAGAGUUUUAAGCUACUAUCUUAAUCUCUUCUAAGUUGGGUUCAUUUUUGGUACAAUGGUUUCUGCAGUUAUCUUAAGUGAAGUCACAUUUUCUAUAGGAUUCUCUGCAUUCUCUAUGAGAAGGUUUCGACGUGUGUGUUUCUGGGAAAAAAAUUCAAAACUGGGGGUAUUUUAGUCUUUUUCACUAAUUGCCUAUUGUGAUUUGACGUGUCUUUUUAAUCGGGAACUGAUUUGCCAAGUUUGAGGUCUUCUCUCAUUUUCUCCAUUGCUCCCUCCGGAUCUCUCUCUAUCCCCUUCGCUCUCUCUCUCUUUUUCUCUCGAUCAUCAUCGUUGUGUGCUCUUCCUCAGAAGCUCCUUGCUUAUUUCUUCUGAUUUGUCUGUUAAAUGGGCUACAUCAGCAAUAGAUGAUGGGGAUCAGGGCUCCCGGCGAGUUCAAUCUGUCUGUCUUCUAUUUAUUUUUUGAAUUCCUGUAGUAAGGCCUUUAACCGCCAACACAAAAGUUUUCACUUCCCUUUCGACCUUGCUCUAAAAUAUUCUAGAUCUUGCUUUAUCUAUGUGUAACCCUUUUCUUGGAGUUCAGUUUUCCCCCUUGUUUUAGGACUCUGCGAGUGCUCAAUAGUGGUACCGAUGUUUGCAGGGUUUUAUGAAUUUGCGGGUGUUUGGAGUUUGCACGGCAGAGAUUGGGCUGAACUAAGUGGUAUUAGGAAACAGUGAUGAAAGGAUUUUUCUUCCGCUAAGUGUCUCCAGAUAAAGAAUUGUCUAUUCGUUAUUUUUUGAUAAGCAUAAAGACUUGUCUUUUCAUUUUUACCCAGUAAAUAAACGCACUAUCAUGUGCUUCAUCCAACAAGUGAUGUCAAAACAGUAAACCCAUAAGAAUUAGCUAUGGAGAAAAUCAAAGAGAACUACUAACUGUAAUAAAAAGUGCAGAGAAAGGCCUUGAAAUAGAGGGGUAGAUAGAAUGUCAAUGAAGCAAAAGAAAGAAGGGUAACUUGGUUGAAGAAUAAAGAGGAUCCGGUGCAGGUAAAAGGUUGGUUUAGUUAAUAAUAACAAACUUGCUUCUCUUACUAUUUGUCAUAUGUUAAGUUGCUUCCAAUACCUCUUUAUGUAUGCUUCGUACAUUUAGAAGUGUAUCAUGUCAUUACAUGACAAAUUGUGUUUAGUGUCGUUGAUUAAAGAUUCUUAUUUACAUACUGAUCUUUGACUUAUAAUCUUAUAUGCACGUGUACUCUGUGAUUGCUUGAGCAUAUCAAAAGGAUUGGACUGCUGGAGUAUACAUGGAAUGGUGAGGGGUGACAUUCUGCAACAGUUUCAAGCAUGACAGAUAUUGUCCGACAUUGUUGUUUCUGCUUAUGAGUUUGGUUUUGCAAUUUGAGUUUAAAUUCUAGAGGCUAUUGCAGUCAUACCCGGUGGGAUGCCGUCCAGUAUAGACUGAAGAGAAGUUUAGAGUAUUGCCAUGGCAAAUGUCUCUUUUAACCAAGAGUACAUAGGAACAACAUUUUGAUAUAUUUAGAUUCACACUUCCUGUACAAUUCUUUGGAGAGUUGUUGCUUUCACAUAGAUAGAAAACAUUUGUACGGUUACCAAGCUAUGAAGUGUGUAUGUCGAAACCCUCCAACGGUAGUGUGCGUGUAUCUUUGGUAUAGAACUAUGAACUGCUUUCAAUACUUACUACUGACAAUCAAACUCAUUCUCAAGCUCA
Molecule: non-coding RNA, 6667 nt
Organism: Nicotiana tabacum (common tobacco)
Lineage: Eukaryota; Viridiplantae; Streptophyta; Magnoliopsida; Solanales; Solanaceae
Source: RefSeq, a predicted model, not a curated record